CAUGGAGAGUUUGAUCCUGGCUCAGAACGAACGCUGGCGGCGCGUCUUAAGCAUGCAAGUCGAGCGGUAAGAGUAGCAAUACUCCGAGAGCGGCGGACUGGUGAGUAACGCGUGGAUAAUCUACCCGAGAGGUUGGGGAUAGCCGCUAGAAAUAGCGGAUAAUACCGAAUACGGUUGCGGAGCGAGAGCCCCGUAAAGAAAAGCGCCGCAAGGCGUUGCCUCCGGAUGAGUCCGCGUCCCAUUAGCUAGUUGGCGAGGUAAAGGCCCACCAAGGCGAUGAUGGGUAGCCGGCCUGAGAGGGUGAACGGCCACAUUGGGACUGAGAUACGGCCCAAACUCCUACGGGAGGCAGCAGCUAAGAAUAUUCCGCAAUGGGCGAAAGCCUGACGGAGCGACGCCGCGUGGAUGACGAAGGCCGUAAGGUUGUAAAAUCCUUUUGCCAUUGAAGAAUAAGCCGUAGAGGAAAUGCUACGGCGAUGACGUUAGAUGGCGAAUAAGCCCCGGCUAAUUACGUGCCAGCAGCCGCGGUAACACGUAAGGGGCAAGCGUUGUUCGGAAUUAUUGGGCGUAAAGGGCGCGUAGGCGGUUCGAUAAGCCUGAUGUGAAAUCCCGCAGCUUAACUGCGGAACUGCAUUGGGAACUGUGGAACUAGAGUCUCGAAGGGGAAGU
RNAcentral lists this ribosomal RNA (669 nucleotides) under Spirochaetia bacterium. RNAcentral's name for it is "bacterial SSU rRNA". It matches the Rfam family "Bacterial small subunit ribosomal RNA", at positions 1 to 661 of the family's 1533-position model. Lineage: Bacteria; Pseudomonadati; Spirochaetota; Spirochaetia. The record is from RNAcentral.